UGGUGUUCCCCGAAGUGUAGGCUAGCUGUUAAUGAUGACAACAACAGCAACAGAAGCAAAGGCUACCCAUAAAAACACAAGAAACAAGGAAGUUGCUAACCUGUGAGUGCAGUCCUAUCCCAAAAUCACGGAGCAAAGCCUGACCAUCUCUCCUUGAGCCGGUACAGAGGAUGGCCAAGUGAAGACAAGCCAGAAGGAAAAAGCAAAAGUUAACCAAGCAAACAGAAGAAGUUUAGGAGAUGGAAAAGAUAAGAGCCACCUAGCUUUGGGGUUUUUUGGUUUUUUAUCUACUAUGACUUUGGGGUAAGUUACCAAACCUCUGAGUCUGUGUGCGCAUCUAUAAAUGAGGUUCAUACCCAGUGUUAUUGUGAGGUUCAAUGAAGCAACAUGUAAAAGUUCUUAGCCCAGCUCCAGUUUCAUGGUUGGUGAUCAAGGGAAGUAAAACCUUAUCAGGAAGAGAAAACAAUGUGACUUGGGGGGAACUAAGUGGUUUGCCAAACCCAAUAUCCCUCUUUAUUUCUUCCCAAUGCUACUGUUGACCUAUAGUGUCUGUCUGAAAUAGAACAGACCAUUCCGUUGCUGCCCUGGCCCCGGGUCAAGUAUACAUUUUAACUCCUGGUUUCCUGAGCUUGCCAGUUGCUCUAGGGAAGAAAUUCCCCUCUGUCUCUUAGGCAAGGGGAGAAGGCUUCCUUCUACCUCCCACCUUGUCUGCCAUUAAGUUGCAAGAUCAUGCUGCAAGCCAGAAACUGGCUGUGAGAACACAAGGCCUGAACUUUGUGGCAAGUUCUGGGUGGUCCUUUCUGUUGUAGGGGGAAGGGAGAGGGUAUUAGUAGCUAGAAAAAUUUGU
Molecule: long non-coding RNA, 847 nt
Filed under: Capra hircus (goat)
Lineage: Eukaryota; Metazoa; Chordata; Mammalia; Artiodactyla; Bovidae
Description: lncRNA (ENSCHIG00010014045.1)
Source: RNAcentral